GCUCAGGACGAACGCUGGCGGCGUGCUUACACAUGCAAGUCGAGCGAGAAAGCCCCUUCGGGGGUGAGUACAGCGGCGAACGGGUGAGUAACACGUGGGCAACCUGCCCCAGAGACUGGGAUAACGUCCCGAAAGGGACGCUAAUACCGGAUGAUGCGCGACCUGCCAAGUGGGUCGCGCCAAAUGGUAGCUUCGGCUUCUGCUCUGGGAUGGGCCCGCGCCGGAUUAGCUUGUUGGUGAGGUAACGGCUCACCAAGGCGACGAUCCGUAGCUGGUCUGAGAGGACGAUCAGCCACACUGGGACUGAGACACGGCCCAGACUCCUACGGGAGGCAGCAGUGGGGAAUCUUGCGCAAUGGGCGAAAGCCUGACGCAGCAACGCCGCGUGCGGGAAGAAGGCCUUCGGGUUGUAAACCGCUGUCAGGAGGGACGAAGCCACUCAGGUGAAUAGCCGAGAGGGUGACGGUACCUCCAGAGGAAGCCCCGGCUAACUACGUGCCAGCAGCCGCGGUAAUACGUAGGGGGCUAGCGUUGUCCGGAAUCAUUGGGCGUAAAGCGCGUGUAGGCGGCUUGCCAAGUCCGAUGUGAAAGCUCGGGGCUUAACCCCGAGUCUGCAUUGGAAACUGGCUUGCUUGAGUCCGGAAGAGGAGACUGGAAUUCCUGGUGUAGCGGUGAAAUGCGCAGAUAUCAGGAAGAACACCGGUGGCGAAGGCGGGUCUCUGGGACGGUACUGACGCUGAGACGCGAAAGCGUGGGGAGCAAACAGGAUUAGAUACCCUGGUAGUCCACGCCGUAAACGAUGGGCACUAGGUGUGGGAGGUGUCGACUCCUUCCGUGCCGUAGCUAACGCAUUAAGUGCCCCGCCUGGGGAGUACGGCCGCA
Molecule: ribosomal RNA, 882 nt
Filed under: uncultured bacterium
Lineage: Bacteria
Description: bacterial SSU rRNA
Rfam family: Bacterial small subunit ribosomal RNA
Source: RNAcentral